ACCCCCUCUCAGCCACGAAAACUCCUGUAUAAGCCGUGAUGGAUCCCUGAUCCUACGCGAUACGUGGAGACCUUGGGGAACGGACGCGGGUGAAACUCCUUUCGUGCUAGCUACCGAGUAUCCCGGAUGUGGGAAGGCUGAUCCAGAAGCAUCGUGGACGGCUGAGAUGGAAAGGGAAGAAGGCCGAUCGUGGAAUGAAGUCUGGACUCAGGGCUUGGGAGAUCUGAUCGUGAAUUCUGAGAGCUGGGAGGUUGAUCACGAACA
Molecule: long non-coding RNA, 264 nt
Filed under: Phoenix dactylifera (date palm)
Lineage: Eukaryota; Viridiplantae; Streptophyta; Magnoliopsida; Arecales; Arecaceae
Description: long non-coding RNA (PDAC_LNC013818)
Source: RNAcentral